This 71-nucleotide transfer RNA is filed under the name Candida labiduridarum. Its description in RNAcentral is "tRNA-Met". It matches the Rfam family "tRNA". From Rfam's summary of the family: Transfer RNA (tRNA) molecules are approximately 80 nucleotides in length. Their secondary structure includes four short double-helical elements and three loops (D, anti-codon, and T loops). The record is from RNAcentral. Lineage: Eukaryota; Fungi; Ascomycota; Pichiomycetes; Serinales; Debaryomycetaceae. RNAcentral also lists the same sequence under 1 other name.
UGAAUUAUAGCUCAAUGGUAGAGCGCUCCACUCAUAAUGGAUUGAUCUCGGUUCAAUUCCGAGUAAUUCAA